Molecule: long non-coding RNA, 419 nt
Organism: Pseudophryne corroboree (corroboree frog)
Lineage: Eukaryota; Metazoa; Chordata; Amphibia; Anura; Myobatrachidae
Exons: 3
Source: RefSeq, a predicted model, not a curated record
AAAACCCGAAACGCGUUGGAGAAGUCACGGAGAGCAACGGAGGAGUAACGCCAGUGUGUGCUAUCACUGGCGCACUCAGAAGCCGGGAGCCGCGUGAGGAGGUUUUUAGCCGGAGCGACAGCGAGACGGGACCUGACACAUCUGCGGCAGCCGGUCAGGCUAUUCAACACCAAGCCGCUAGCAGGAACCGAAUGUGAGGAGACACUCAAAAGACUGAGGAGGAAGGGGAGGAGUAACUCUCUAUACCCUAAGUGGGCGGUCCCCGAAGUGUAAAAAAACUUCCUGUCUAGAACUAGGGGGAUGGGAUGCCAUGAAGUAUCUCGAAGAAACGAAAUUAUCAAGGCUUACAUGAAGAGACCUACUACUUACAUGUGAGUGAGGUUCUUCAGUGGCAAGAACAUUCUUCUUUGGAUAUUUGG